UAUUUAUUAGAUAAAAAACCAACGCCCUUCGGGGCUCCUUGGUGAAUCAUAAUAACUUAACGAAUCGCAUGGCCUUGCGCCGGCGAUGGUUCAUUCAAAUUUCUGCCCUAUCAACUUUCGAUGGUAGGAUAGUGGCCUACCAUGGUGGCAACGGGUAACGGGGAAUUAGGGUUCGAUUCCGGAGAGGGAGCCUGAGAAACGGCUACCACAUCCAAGGAAGGCAGCAGGCGCGCAAAUUACCCAAUCCCGAUACGGGGAGGUAGUGACAAUAAAUACUGAUACGGGGCUCUUUUGGGUCUCGUAAUUGGAAUGAGAACAAUUUAAAUCCCUUAACGAGGAACAAUUGGAGGGCAAGUCUGGUGCCAGCAGCCGCGGUAAUUCCAGCUCCAAUAGCGUAUAUUAAAGUUGUUGCAGUUAAAAAGCUCGUAGUUGAACCUUGGGUCUGGCUGGCCGGUCCGCCUCACCGCGAGUACUGGUCCGGCUGGACCUUUCCUUCUGGGGAACCUCAUGGCCUUCACUGGCUGUGGGGGGAACCAGGACUUUUACUGUGAAAAAAUUAGAGUGUUCAAAGCAGGC
This 576-nucleotide ribosomal RNA is filed under the name uncultured eukaryote. RNAcentral's name for it is "SSU rRNA". It matches the Rfam family "Eukaryotic small subunit ribosomal RNA", at positions 203 to 785 of the family's 1831-position model. The record is from RNAcentral.